Non-coding RNA from Pelobates cultripes (western spadefoot toad), 239 nucleotides. The record is from the annotation of a GenBank genome assembly. NCBI's taxonomy places the organism in Eukaryota, Metazoa, Chordata, Amphibia, Anura, Pelobatidae.
CUGGCCAAUCAGCAUCUCCUCAUAGAGAUGCAUUGAAUCAAUGAAUCUCUAUGAGGAAAGUUCAGUGUCUGCAUGCAGAGGGAGGAGAUACUGAAUGUUUGGAUGCAUUUUAGGCAGCCAUGACCCAGGAAGGAUCUCCAACAGCCAUCUGAGGAGUGGCCAGUGAAGUUAUCACUAGGCUGUAAUGUAAACACUGCAUUUUCUCUGAAAAGACAGUGUUUACAGCAAAAAGCCUAAAG